UAAUAUCUCACAUUCACUUUCUUUUUAUUUACUUUUAUUUUUUAUUUAUUUAUUUUUAUUUAUAAUUAUUAUUAUAGUAAUUAGGUUUUUAGUGUCUUUUGGGUUAGGUCCAAGACAACUUGAUAUUUACACCCUAACUCAAUCAUUUUUUACACUCCCUUUUAUUUAUUUAAUUAUUCAUUUUACUUAUUUAUUCAUUUUUAUUCUAUUUCUCUUAAUUAAUUAAUUUUAUCUAGAUUAAUAAUCAUUUGAUUUUUUU
RNAcentral lists this long non-coding RNA (259 nucleotides) under Lathyrus oleraceus (garden pea). RNAcentral's name for it is "Pisum sativum (pea) long non-coding RNA (PSAT_LNC002777)". The record is from RNAcentral. Lineage: Eukaryota; Viridiplantae; Streptophyta; Magnoliopsida; Fabales; Fabaceae.